This is a non-coding RNA of Aegilops tauschii subsp. strangulata, 237 nucleotides long. Lineage: Eukaryota; Viridiplantae; Streptophyta; Magnoliopsida; Poales; Poaceae. The record is from RefSeq and is a predicted model, not a curated record.
AUGAACUUUGUGAUCAAGAAAGCAGCUGAUGAGACCGAGACUAUUCUGGAAACAACCCCGGCUGGCAAAAGCGAUGGGGAAGGUGCACUUCGAGCAUUCAUUAAGCGCCAGGGCCAAAAGUUAAGGCGGCUAUCAAACCUUUUCGGUUGUCGUGACCCCGAGUAUGUAUCACCAGAACGGUCUAGGUCGGCGACACCAUCAGAUCCCGCUUCGGGGCAGGGCCAUGGUGAACCUUUG